CCUUCAUGAAGCCGGAAUUGCUAGUAAUGGCAGGUCAGCAUACUGCCGUGAAUACGUUCCCGGGCCUUGUACACACCGCCCGUCACACCAUGAGAGUCGGGAACACCCGAAGUCCGUAGCCUGACCGCAAGGGGGGCGCGGCCGAAGGUGGGUUCGAUAAUUGGGGUGAAGUCGUAACAAGGUAUC
This 186-nucleotide ribosomal RNA is filed under the name uncultured bacterium. Its description in RNAcentral is "partial 16S ribosomal RNA". It matches the Rfam family "Bacterial small subunit ribosomal RNA", at positions 1315 to 1500 of the family's 1533-position model. The record is from RNAcentral.